CAAAGAAUUUAUUUACAUAUCUGAUUGUACAUUACAGCUACCUGAAGGAUUCACAUCAGCAGGGACAGUUUUAUUGUCCCCAAAAAGUAUUUCAAGAAAAUACAGAGAAAAUAGUGUAAUGGCACAUUGCAACAGUACUGACAUCACUUCACUGAUGUUAUAAAUUACAGAAUGAGAUUUAAAAUAGUCAUAUGCCACUUCUGCUGGCUGCUUUUUUUCAGUAACAAUGGAGCAAGUGAACUUUGCUCAUUUUCAUACCAAGCAGCCUUUGAAAUAAAAAAUAAAACCACUCCUUGCUUCUAUGGCAGCUUCCUAUUCUGUGAAAUAGGUGUCAAAUUCAGUAAAAAAAUUUCUGCUCUGUGAGAGUGGAACAUAUUCUUUUACAGAUAAAAACUUUGUUUUUUAAAGAUUUAGGGGAUAUUGAUGAUUUUUUUCCUUCAGACUUACCACAGUUUAUUAUCUCACUCUCUGGGGGCUGGUGAGUGGGGUAUUGAUAAACAAGGUGUGAGAGAGGGAACAAUUGUAGGAUCUCAUCACAUGAGCAGGGUCAACACUCCAGAAAUGAAACCACCAGCUCGAGAAGAGGUUGGAAGGAGGGAAGGACACUUCUAGCACCAGGGCCCUCGUUGCCACUUACAGAUGCCCAGGCUCACAAAGCACCUGCACAGCUUCCCAAAUGCUGUGGGAGAGUGCUGUGCUACAAACCCCAAGGGAAAGAGUUUGUUCAGCAUCUGCCAAAAUGUGAAGAGCAAGACACGCAACCUCUCACAUCUGCAAGAGGAAUGCAGACCCAGGUCUGUCCUUAGGAAACGCUGCCACAGAAGCCAGGCAGGGAAGACAAGGAGUAACUAAAGCAUUUUAGGCACUCUAAGACGGAGAGUCUAUCAAUUGGUAAUGCUAUUUCUUUUUCCAUUUCAAUGGUCAAAGUAAAUCACUUGCCUGAUCCCACAAAAAUAAUCCCAGAACAGAAAUUAACCUGAAAUGAGCAAUGUGUUCAAAUGAGGUUUUGGUCUGGUGCCCAUUUCAAGUAUAAAAGGAAGCAAAUUUGCUUUAAUGGAAAUAAAAACUAUAAUCACCAAGUCAGGACUGUAACAUUUAAUUAAGUGUUUUAUUAUUUUGAAUUAACUUAAGCCAACAAGUGGGUCUCAAAACAAUACUAAAACAAUAAAUCUGCAGAAUGUGUGUGACAUUGCCUUACAAGAGACCAACCAUCUGACACAACAUUCCUAAAAGAAGACAAAGAACUGCUAAUUAUGUUAAAUUUCAUUUGCUACGUAAUUUAGACCAUGACCUAGUGCUUCUAAAAAAACCUGUACAAAAUGAAUAUUUUUUACAUCUCAGAGGCACAUGAAUACAAAUCUGAUCUAUUUUAUAUAUACACAUGUACAUUACAAGAAACCAGAUGAUUAAAGAAGUGUAUAUAAAAAGUGUCCAAAACCAGAUGAUAAAAUGUGAAAAUAAAAUGUAUCUUCACAAGAGAGAAGUAAAAGGCACAAGUACUAAAAUAUGUAACCAUGCAAAAAAAGUGACUAGUCUGUGCAACAGAGAAAAACAAAUGGCUCUCACAACGGAUUUUACAGUAAUUCUCAAAAUGUCUCAGCAUUUAAAUAUAUAUCAGUGCAACAUUUACUGCCCUGUAGUGUACUGAAGUAUUCACAGGAUACUAAAUUCUUGGUUCUCCUUCUGAUGUCCUUUCUCCAAAGUCAGAAUAAUUUAGCUAUGGAUAAAGUAGUAAAUAAAUCAGGGCUGAUGCUGGGGAGUGUGAGUUCCUCACUGGGAGGAGGAGUGUCUGCAGCCCCCUUAGCCCUGCACAGAUGUGUCCCCCAGAACAGUGACAGCAGAGCCGACAGCUCAGGUGGCACAGCUGCUCCACUCACAGCACCUCCAUUCCAGGGCUAAGCUGUCCAAAUUACAUGCAGAAGGCCAUGUUUGCUAAUGUUUUCAUUAGGUUUAAAGUUUAAGUAAAAACGAAUCAGUCUAACAGUGUGUUUGAGCAGGUCCUGCUCUUGCAGCCGAACAGAAGCCCCAGUGAAGGCAGCAAGCUGAAGCGCAGAGAACACCAGGAGCCGUCAGCUGGCUCCACACUGUGGCAAGCUGUGGUAGCCCUGCCUGCAGACGGUGCCUGCAGAUCCUCAGGGGCUGCUGCUGUGAGCUCUGCCCUGUGCUGGCCACGCUGAGCUGCAGCCUGAGCCUCCAGAGCGUCAGCAGAGCGUGCAGUGGGACAGCUGCACAGACCGAGGCACAUCCCAGGAUCCCUCCCCUGGAUCACCUACUCACCCUACCUGCUUGUAUGCCAUGAGAACCAGCUACAACGUUUUGUCACGUACAUGGGACACAACCACAAAAAAGGCAAGGACAGGACUGGCCUGGUAUAAAGACAGGACUGAAAUUCUUGCCUUGGUAGCUAAGGUCACCCUGAAGCCAAGAAUAUUGAAUUUGUCCCUCCCAUCUGCUCAAAGUUCUGCCCCAAGGCACACACUCAGUGGUAGCUGGGGAAAAGACCAAGAAUGUAAAUGUCAACAGAAUGCUGAGGCCCCAGAAAGAAACAACUCUCUUGCACAUCAGACCAACUCCCAGUGCACUAUGCAGAAUGACAGGAUUCAGACCCAGCACUGACUGCAAUCUUCAUCAAACUCUAAAGCUACAUGCAGAGUUUCAUUAACUAGAAACCUAUGCAUGAUUUAACAGCAAACUGCUCCUAGGAUCAUUAUUUUGAAUUCAAAAAUACUGAGAUGCAAAGGAACAAAAUGUCAGAACUGUGGUACUAUGUUGUCUAAAACCAACCAGUCAUGACUUCUUGACAGUAUUUCUUGAUUAACAAAUGACUUGACAUGAAUAUGAGCAUUGCUGCUUACAGCAGGAGCUGCUCAGUUAAAGUCUGAGUCAAGUUUUUACUUAAAUCAGUAUAAGCCAAGCCACUGAUUUGGCAAGUGUUUGAUCAGCUGCUACUUCCUUCCUUCCUUGGAAAAAAAUCCCUCAGACCACACCAUACAGUAUUUGUUUUAAGAGAAAACCACUGCAUAUUCACUGCCAUUAAAGAAUGUAAAAACCCCAUUAUUUUAUUUGUAAAUUCUAGUUUUUAGACUCAUCACAUGUCACGGGCACUGUGAUGCACAGACCAGUGAGCAGUGCCUCAUGUAGAGCCCACAAUGUGUGUUUAUACAUCAGCUCCAAGCCCUCAUUUCCAAGCCAGAUUAGGGAGCCUAAAUACUGUCGGUCUAGAUCCUCUCUGGAGAGCAAUGCAGUUCUACCAAAGUAAAUGGAGCAUUGCUGCACUCAGACAGAAAAAUAUUUGUUGAUACACAUCUUUGAGAAUUAAUAAUGCUGUGUUCAACUCCCUACAGAGCUGGCUGAGAACUAUCUGAAUUUUUUCCCAAAGACCGUGAAAGGAAAGUUGGCAACAAAAGUUCAUUGCAUGCUGGGUUUCUUUGAAACUUCCUACACAUUUGCAUAUUUAAAAUUCCUUUAAAAUAGAUGGGAUAGUUACAGUUCAUCAAUGUUGCAUUUAAAGAAAAAUUCUUUAACAGCUUCAGUCUUAAACAGAAGCUAUUCAAAAAGCUGAAAAAUUGUCUUUUGAUAUCAAAGCAGUUUUGAUUCAGCAUCAUUCUGAAAUCAGAACUAGGCAGCAGCUGAAGACUGGAGUCUGGAGGGAAGCAGCCAAUACCAGAAAAAAAAUUGAGAGACUACAUUUCAGGUACUCUUUAAGUGCAAGUUUUGAAAGAGGUAAUUUUUCUGCAGUACCUUGUGUGGGAUUAGCAGCUUCUAGCCAAAAGCCAGUCUUUUUUUUUCCACUGUCCAGAAAUACCUGUAGUGGUUUGCAACAGGUUUGUCCAGAAUAUCAUUUAGCUUUUCAGAAUCUAAGGUCAAAUGAACCAAGGAACAGAUCAAGAUACAGUAACUGGGAUUGUUUGCAUUCCCAAGGGUUAAAUGUAACCUUGGGUUUGACACAGGAGUGUUCACUGCAUCUGUGUAUUGCUAGAAGAUGAUACCACGUUUCUGUGUCUGCAGUGAUUUACGAAGGGAAGGGAGGCCCUUGUUCCACCAACAGUAACACUGACAGAGGCAGGCUGUACUUUUCUGGCCAGCCUGAGAGAACAAAGGAUGUCCACAGCAAAGAAGUAAGAAAUUUAUCAGAGAACAGACAGCAAAGUUGUUGCAAUUGGGGAGACACUAUCUCCUGUCUGUUCUGCCAGUGUCUGACACUUGAUCAAAUUAUGCACUCUCUGCAACACUGGUAUCAGAUUACUCUUCUCCCUGCCCCAGUGAGCCAUCAAGUGAUCCUUUAUUACCAAAUUACCUGCAUGUCAUAAAACACAAUGACUUCUUUUCUGGGAUAAAAGGGUUCUCCAGGGCUUGAAUUGCAAGAUGAGUUGGUCUAAUAUCUGCAGUUACUCAGUCUAAGAAUGCAAUUGCUAAUUAGUAUUUUUAGAGGUGGAUACCUUAGAGGAAAAUAUAUCUGCCAGUGAAAUGCCUCUCCCACCUCCAACUCACAUUAUUUGUCAAACACAGUAAGUAUCUGGAUAUGAUUUCCACAGUAACAGAUGGCAGUACCACACCAAGGGCCCCACAGGAGCAGAUACCUCCUUUACACAAUAAAACACGGCUACAAACACCACCAACAUGGUGGUAAGACAUCUCUUCAAAUGCAAACACUGGAGCAAGGAAGAGUUUCUAAAUACUUACACAGCUGGGUACAGAGCUGAACAAGAAGUCCUGCAAGUUUUAAGAAAUUUCCACUGCUGAGUACCCUUGGCUAGAACAUUCCUUUUGGGAUAUCAGCCAGAUUCAGUGACUACAUGUCACUACUAGUGACUGUUCACCUCCUACAUACAACAAUCACAAAAACUGCACAAAAACUUGGCUUUCUUUAUAGUAAUGUCUUCUGUUCAAGUCCACAGGCUUUGCUUUCAGUGCAACAGUCCUCAACAUUUGCUGAUGUUCCACCCUAAUGGGAAUGGGCUUUAGAUCACAGAAAUUUUGAAGCAGAGUCCAAUUUACUUAAAAAUAAUUAUGGGAAAACAUUCAGUCACCAGCCUCAGCUGCAACAGCUUCACUCUAACUGAAAUCCACUGCAUGAGAGCAGGACAGCAGUGCAACACAGCCAGCUCCAGAAGCAGGGCUGCUGUGUCACCCAGCCCUGCUGGUCACAACAGGUUUGCAACAACCUCCUGACAGUGCAGAAGAGUUCUCUGUGGCCUGCAAAAAGAAUAAAGUCUCUGGCACUACCCACAAAGAGCACCAGGCAGAGGGAAAUGCCACCACUGAAGUGCAAGUGAGGAGUCCUGCAGGCAGGAAGCACCGAGCUCGCUGAACUGUUCCUCUCCCACCUUCUGGGCAGCACAUCCAGAAGCAGCAGCAGGUGGGAAAGGUGGAUGUGUGGGCUUUCCAUGGGGUUCCACCUACUUUCUAAACAAACAGAAGCUGCUGCAGUGUUGCAUCUUACACCAUUCCCAGGUAAUUUCCUCCAACUACCCCAGAGCCUCAGGAAGCCAGCCCUGUGUUUGAACCAGCCUGUCCCACUUCUCCCAGAGCACUGCAACCUUUGUGCACUGGGUGUUGUGUCCCCCAGUCAUUCCUCUGGUUCCUCUCUCUU
This is a long non-coding RNA of Passer montanus (Eurasian tree sparrow), 5593 nucleotides long. RefSeq lists it as uncharacterized. Lineage: Eukaryota; Metazoa; Chordata; Aves; Passeriformes; Passeridae. The transcript has 3 exons. The record is from RefSeq and is a predicted model, not a curated record.